RNAcentral lists this transfer RNA (71 nucleotides) under Loxodonta africana (African savanna elephant). It matches the Rfam family "tRNA". Rfam says of the family: Transfer RNA (tRNA) molecules are approximately 80 nucleotides in length. Their secondary structure includes four short double-helical elements and three loops (D, anti-codon, and T loops). The record is from Rfam by way of RNAcentral. Lineage: Eukaryota; Metazoa; Chordata; Mammalia; Proboscidea; Elephantidae.
GCAGUGGUAGUUCAGUGGUAGAAUUUUUGCCUUCCAUGCAGGAGACCGCAAUUCAAUUCCCGGCCAAUGCA